CAGGACAGCCAAACUGUGCGUUGCAUCUGGUUGGGUCUUUCGGAGCAAGUGCUAUGAGAGUUUUCUACUCUUCCUCCAGAGGCAGAUAGGGGACUGUGGCUGUCAGUGGAGUAACGAGAAAGAGGAACAAAGAUGGGAAAAGACCAGCAGCUAUUUGUGAGGCUGUGGCCAUUCCUGCCUCCACCCCCAGACCACCUGCUGAAGGGAGAGAUGUUAAAAAGAACCACGUUUUCCAUUCCUCAAAGCCAAACAAACACAGAGAGUCGGCUGAGCCUCUCUAAAUCAGUGACUGCCAGGGGAGUAAAAUGCUGAACCCACCAAAAGGCCACAUCUGCGAAAUAAAUCCAUGUCCUGAGAGUCAAAUCAAAACAGAUGUGGUCCCACAGCAGGGACCCCUCCCAUGGAGAGACACAUCUACCUCGGUCCUACCCAGGGCCCUUUCUCGUUGAGAGAUCUGGCCAGGUUAUGAAAACCAUUUACUUCCAUGGUGACUCUUCUUCAGUGAUGCUGGCUGGAGCCCAGCCCUCCUCAGGUCACUUAACCACACCAUCUUAGGGAGCCCAGCCCACUCUCAGCCUAAAGCCAUCAGUGAAAGUGCAAACUCAGGGACUGCAGUCAGUUAGACUCAACAGCUCUCAUCCCCCAGGUCCUGUCCACAGGCUCAGCGCGCUAUGUCCUGCCCUGCCCACGCUGGGGUCAAGAAAGGAAGUUUUGCUCAUCUUCCAAGGCCCAGCUCAGCCGCCCCCUUCUCCAGAGGCUUCCUCCUUCUCCAAGGACAGAUCUGCUACUUAUUUGCCUCUUCCCACAAUACUUUUUUGAAAAUCUUUUCCACAGAGAGCCCCAGGGAUCCACUCGCUGGCCUCAAGGAUUUGUGAAUUCCUAAAAUGUUGUGUGG
RNAcentral lists this long non-coding RNA (895 nucleotides) under Homo sapiens (human). Its description in RNAcentral is "HSALNT0298921". The record is from RNAcentral. Lineage: Eukaryota; Metazoa; Chordata; Mammalia; Primates; Hominidae.